GACGAACGCUGGCGGCGCGCUUAACACAUGCAAGUCGAACGGAAAGGCCCUGCUUUUGUGGGGUGCUCGAGUGGCGAACGGGUGAGUAACACGUGAGUAACCUGCCCUUGACUUUGGGAUAACUUCAGGAAACUGGGGCUAAUACCGGAUAGGAGCUCCUGCUGCAUGGUGGGGGUUGGAAAGUUUCGGCGGUUGGGGAUGGACUCGCGGCUUAUCAGCUUGUUGGUGGGGUAGUGGCUUACCAAGGCUUUGACGGGUAGCCGGCCUGAGAGGGUGACCGGCCACAUUGGGACUGAGAUACGGCCCAGACUCCUACGGGAGGCAGCAGUGGGGAACAUUGCACAAUGGGCGGAAGCCUGAUGCAGCAACGCCGCGUGCGGGAUGACGGCCUUCGGGUUGUAAACCGCUUUCGCCUGUGACGAAGCGUGAGUGACGGUAAUGGGUAAAGAAGCACCGGCUAACUACGUGCCAGCAGCCGCGGUGAUACGUAGGGUGCGAGCGUUGUCCGGAUUUAUUGGGCGUAAAGGGCUCGUAGGUGGUUGAUCGCGUCGGAAGUGUAAUCUUGGGGCUUAACCCUGAGCGUGCUUUCGAUACGGGUUGACUUGAGGAAGGUAGGGGAGAAUGGAAUUCCUGGUGGAGCGGUGGAAUGCGCAGAUAUCAGGAGGAACACCAGUGGCGAAGGCGGUUCUCUGGGCCUUUCCUGACGCUGAGGAGCGAAAGCGUGGGGAGCGAACAGGCUUAGAUACCCUGGUAGUCCACGCUGUAAACGGUGGGUACUAGGUGUGGGGUCCAUUCCACGGGUUCCGUGCCGUAGCUAACGCUUUAAGUACCCCGCCUGGGGAGUACGGCCGCAAGGCUAAAACUCAAAGGAAUUGACGGGGCCCCGCACAAGCGGCGGAGCAUGCGGAUUAAUUCGAUGCAACGCGUAGAACCUUACCUGGGUUUGACAUGGAUCGGGAGUGCUCAGAGAUGGGUGUGCCUCUUUUGGGGUCGGUUCACAGGUGGUGCAUGGCUGUCGUCAGCUCGUGUCGUGAGAUGUUGGGUUAAGUCCCGCAACGAGCGCAACCCUUGUUCACUGUUGCCAGCACGUUAUGGUGGGGACUCAGUGGAGACCGCCGGGGUCAACUCGGAGGAAGGUGGGGAUGACGUCAAGUCAUCAUGCCCCUUAUGUCCAGGGCUUCACGCAUGCUACAAUGGCUGGUACAGAGAGUGGCGAGCCUGUGAGGGUGAGCGAAUCUCGGAAAGCCGGUCUCAGUUCGGAUUGGGGUCUGCAACUCGACCUCAUGAAGUCGGAGUCGCUAGUAAUCGCAGAUCAGCAACGCUGCGGUGAAUACGUUCUCGGGGCU
Molecule: ribosomal RNA, 1346 nt
Filed under: uncultured bacterium
Lineage: Bacteria
Description: partial 16S ribosomal RNA
Rfam family: Bacterial small subunit ribosomal RNA
Source: RNAcentral